AUCUAACUGACGAGUCUCAAGUAGAACGAAACUCACGUCCGAGAU
This 45-nucleotide non-coding RNA is filed under the name Schistosoma mansoni. Lineage: Eukaryota; Metazoa; Platyhelminthes; Trematoda; Strigeidida; Schistosomatidae. The record is from RNAcentral.